GAUUAGAUGUCUGAAGUUAAGUGGUUGAUUGUAAAUCAAUUUAUGGGUGUUACCCUCUAUUCA
Molecule: transfer RNA, 63 nt
Filed under: Loxilobus prominenoculus
Lineage: Eukaryota; Metazoa; Arthropoda; Insecta; Orthoptera; Tetrigidae
Description: tRNA-Tyr
Source: RNAcentral